This 301-nucleotide ribosomal RNA is filed under the name uncultured bacterium. RNAcentral describes it as "partial 16S ribosomal RNA". It matches the Rfam family "Bacterial small subunit ribosomal RNA", at positions 509 to 808 of the family's 1533-position model. The record is from RNAcentral.
CAGAGCCGCGGUAAUACGUAGGUGGCAAGCGUUGUCCGGAAUUAUUGGGCGUAAAGGGCUCGCAGGCGGUUUCUUAAGUCUGAUGUGAAAGCCCCCGGCUCAACCGGGGAGGGUCAUUGGAAACUGGGAAACUUGAGUGCAGAAGAGGAGAGUGGAAUUCCACGUGUAGCGGUGAAAUGCGUAGAGAUGUGGAGGAACACCAGUGGCGAAGGCGACUCUCUGGUCUGUAACUGACGCUGAGGAGCGAAAGCGUGGGGAGCAAAUGGGAUUAGAUACCCCCGUAGUCCCUGUCUCUUAUACA